Molecule: ribosomal RNA, 464 nt
Filed under: Vreelandella stevensii
Lineage: Bacteria; Pseudomonadati; Pseudomonadota; Gammaproteobacteria; Oceanospirillales; Halomonadaceae
Description: partial 16S ribosomal RNA
Rfam family: Bacterial small subunit ribosomal RNA
Source: RNAcentral
CCUACGGGCGGCAGCAGUGGGGAAUAUUGGACAAUGGGCGAAAGCCUGAUCCAGCCAUGCCGCGUGUGUGAAGAAGGCCUUCGGGUUGUAAAGCACUUUCAGUGGGGAAGAAAUCCUUGUGGCUAAUACCCGCGAGGAAGGACAUCACCCACAGAAGAAGCACCGGCUAACUCCGUGCCAGCAGCCGCGGUAAUACGGAGGGUGCGAGCGUUAAUCGGAAUUACUGGGCGUAAAGCGCGCGUAGGCGGUUUGAUAAGCCGGUUGUGAAAGCCCCGGGCUCAACCUGGGAACGGCACCGGGACUGUCAGGCUAGAGUAUGGGAGAGGAAGGUAGAAUUCCCGGUGUAGCGGUGAAAUGCGUAGAGAUCGGGAGGAAUACCAGUGGCGAAGGCGGCCUUCUGGACUGACACUGACGCUGAGGUACGAAAGCGUGGGUAGCAAACAGGAUUAGAUACCCGAGUAGUC